AACGUAGGAGGCGAGCGUUAUCCGGAGUUACUGGGCGUAAAGCGCGUGUAGGUGGCUUGUUACGUCUGCUGUGAAAUGUCCCGGCUUAACCGGGACUAGGCGGUAGAUACGGGCAGGCUAGAGGGUGACAGAGGAGCGUAGAAUUCCGGGUGUAGUGGUGAAAUGCGUAGAGAUCGGGAAGAACAUCAGUGGCGAAGGCGGCCUGCUGGGCUGUUGCUGACGCUGAGGCGCGACAGCGUGGGGAGCAAACAGG
RNAcentral lists this ribosomal RNA (253 nucleotides) under uncultured bacterium. RNAcentral's name for it is "partial 16S ribosomal RNA". It matches the Rfam family "Bacterial small subunit ribosomal RNA", at positions 524 to 776 of the family's 1533-position model. The record is from RNAcentral.